This 16-nucleotide small RNA is filed under the name Arabidopsis thaliana (thale cress). RNAcentral's name for it is "ATSL128080". The record is from RNAcentral. Lineage: Eukaryota; Viridiplantae; Streptophyta; Magnoliopsida; Brassicales; Brassicaceae.
AAAACAGAGUAAAACC